This 21-nucleotide non-coding RNA is filed under the name Caenorhabditis elegans. The record is from RNAcentral. Lineage: Eukaryota; Metazoa; Nematoda; Chromadorea; Rhabditida; Rhabditidae.
UCCGCUUCCAUUGCUGAAUGA